Molecule: long non-coding RNA, 891 nt
Organism: Xiphophorus couchianus (Monterrey platyfish)
Lineage: Eukaryota; Metazoa; Chordata; Actinopteri; Cyprinodontiformes; Poeciliidae
Exons: 2
Source: RefSeq, a predicted model, not a curated record
UCAUUUGAAGGGUCAGAAUCAGUACCAAUCCACAUUCUCAGGGGAGAAAGACUCACCUGUGUUACGGCCCAGAGAAGAGGGAGAAAGGAGAGAGGGUGGCAGGCAGACAGAAAGGAAUGGGGCAGCUGGCCAGAACUUGGUCACCUGAAAGAAAAACACAAUGUUCAGCUUUCUUAUCAUACAAACGCUUCAUUUUUUUGUCUGUGCAGAUGAUAGUUUCUCUUUUGCCAACUGUGUAGCAGUAAAGAGUCUGCUUAAACCCAUUAACAUAAUGCAACAAGUUUUGUGGUGGUUCAGCAUCUUUCCACUCAUCUCGCAAAACGGUUUCUGGCCCACACACAGUUUUGAAACAGCUGCCUGACCAAAAUUGCCUCAUUGCGACUCCAGAAAGGUGGAAGAAACGGCAAACAUUUCAUGUCAACUUCUUAAAACCUUACCAUGUUCGUGCUGAGACUGUAUUGGUGGAUGAAAUUCACCCUGUAUGCAUUGGUGAAACAGUGACCUCUGCUGGAGGUGAAUGGAAUGGCGAUGGGUUGCCUGCUCCAGAUUCAGCCAUUCUAACUGGUCGACUUAAGAAUUCUGAAGUACUGAAAAACUUGGACAUUGUGCUGAGUUAUUGUGACGUCCCCCUCCACUUGACGUGGAGGGAUCCAUCAGUUAUUGUGUUUUGUCCUGAGGCGGAGCAGAGUGGGCGGGACCAGGAUUCGCCAGGAUCAGCGCAUCAUCGCUAUAAAAGGGAGUCGGCUUCUCCACCCAGCAGGGCUCUACAGAGAACUUCUCCGGUUAUCACUGACUUCAGAGAUGCCGUCGACCACCGAGGGGGAUACCCGCUUGUCGCUGUUUGGGCUUUGUUAAUGUGUUUGGGUUGUUCAAUAAAGAACAUAUUCUUUA